This 18-nucleotide ribosomal RNA is filed under the name Xylaria sp. F100. RNAcentral describes it as "partial 18S ribosomal RNA". The record is from RNAcentral. Lineage: Eukaryota; Fungi; Ascomycota; Sordariomycetes; Xylariales; Xylariaceae.
GUGAACCAGCGGAGGGAU